This 253-nucleotide ribosomal RNA is filed under the name uncultured bacterium. Its description in RNAcentral is "partial 16S ribosomal RNA". It matches the Rfam family "Bacterial small subunit ribosomal RNA", at positions 524 to 776 of the family's 1533-position model. The record is from RNAcentral.
UACAGAGGUCUCAAGCGUUGUUCGGAUUUAUUGGGCGUAAAGAGCGUGUAGGCGGCCAGGUAGGUCCGUUGUGAAAACUGGAGGCUUAACCUCCAGCUGUCGAUGGAAACCAUCUGGCUAGAGUCCGGAAGAGGAGAGUGGAAUUCCUGGUGUAGCGGUGAAAUGCGCAGAUAUCAGGAAGAACACCCGUGGCGAAGGCGGCUCUCUGGGACGGUACUGACGCUGAGACGCGAAAGCGUGGGGAGCAAACAGG